Molecule: RNase P RNA, 413 nt
Filed under: Corynebacterium felinum
Lineage: Bacteria; Bacillati; Actinomycetota; Actinomycetes; Mycobacteriales; Corynebacteriaceae
Description: RNase P class A
Rfam family: Bacterial RNase P class A
About the family: Ribonuclease P (RNase P) is a ubiquitous endoribonuclease, found in archaea, bacteria and eukarya as well as chloroplasts and mitochondria.
Source: RNAcentral
UGAGCCAGCUGGGUGAUCGCGGCGUACCGAACCACACAUGAAUGUGUUGGCGGGGUGUCGAGGAAAGUCCGGACUCCACAGAAAGCACGGUGGUUGCUAACGGCAACCCAGGGUGACCUGAGGGAAUAGUGCAACAGAAAGUAAACCGCCACCUUUUUCUAUGGUGGUAAGGGUGAAACGGUGUGGUAAGAGCGCACCAGCACCUGCGGUGACGCAGGUGGCUAUGUAAACCCCACCAGGAGCAAGGCAAGAGGACGCACCUUGAAAGGUGUGUCUGCCGCGGACGUUUGAGGUUGCUUUCUGCCGAUGUUCGCGGGGUAGCUGCUUGAGACCACCAGCAAUGGUGGCCCCAGAUGGAUGAUCGCCCCCUGAUUUAUUAGGGACAGAAUCCGGCUUAUAGGCUGGCUCAUUUC